This 403-nucleotide ribosomal RNA is filed under the name uncultured bacterium. Its description in RNAcentral is "bacterial SSU rRNA". It matches the Rfam family "Bacterial small subunit ribosomal RNA", at positions 355 to 774 of the family's 1533-position model. The record is from RNAcentral.
UGGGGAAUAUUGCGCAAUGGGGGAAACCCUGACGCAGCAACGCCGCGUGAUUGAAGAAGGCCUUCGGGUUGUAAAGAUCUUUAAUCAGGGACGAAAAUUGACGGUACCUGAAGAAUAAGCUCCGGCUAACUACGUGCCAGCAGCCGCGGUAAUACGUAGGGAGCAAGCGUUAUCCGGAUUUACUGGGUGUAAAGGGCGCGCAGGCGGGCCGGCAAGUUGGAAGUGAAAUCCCGGGGCUUAACUCCGGAACUGCUUUCAAAACUGCUGGUCUUGAGUGAUGGAGAGGCAGGCGGAAUUCCGUGUGUAGCGGUGAAAUGCGUAGAUAUACGGAGGAACACCAGUGGCGAAGGCGGCCUGCUGGACAUUAACUGACGCUGAGGCGCGAAAGCGUGGGGAGCAAACA